GAAAAGGUUUGUGGGAGCUUAAACCAAAGCAAAAGGCAAAGGUAGAAGAAUUAAGUUUACACCCCCCAUACAUCCCAAAACCGUACACACACAAAAAAGCACUCACCAACCAUUCAUUUUUUCCCAAUUUAUUUUCCUUCUCUCGACCCACGUUCAAAUUUAAUUAAAAUUACAUUACAUUAUUAUGAAUAUAUGUUUGGACAGACAAUCGCAGUGGGACACCCAUUGUGUGCAGAGUUUUGCAGCUUAGCUUCUUGAAAAAAUAACAACACCCUUUUUCAAACAUUCACAUUUUUUUCUUACCUUACGACAAUAAUUCUUCAAUAUUCAUUAUUCAUCUAAUCCAAACCCAACACAACCAAAGAUACACACCAUCACAAACAAACAAACAAACAAACAAACAUGCACCCUCUUCCUUUUCUCAUCUUUUCUUUUUCGCACCCCCCUUCACUCUAAACUAUAUACCAUUAAUUUGUGAUGGUAUCACAAAGGGGGUGUAGUUGGUUUUGCUGGAAGAAGCUGAAGCAGAAGCAAAAUAUGGUGAACUUUGGUCUUGUAGCUUUCACAGUUUAUGAGAUCCAACAAAGUUUUAUUUUUUACUGCAGAUUAAUCCUUGUGGUGCAAAAGGGUCUUCUUAGAUUCUUCUUAUGUCAAGGAAAGAGUACUCAACCAUGGAUUCUGUACUUUUUCUUCUUCUCUUUUGUUUGUUGAUUUUUAUUAUGAUGAUGAUGUUGUUGUUGGUGAUGGUGGUGAUAUUGGCUACACGGCUCAAUCUGUUAGCUUAGUGAUACUGAGGAAAAAAAAAAGAGGAAGGAGACGUUUCUUUGUUGGUUGGAGAGGCAUUGGGUUUCUACAAAAAAUUGCAGUAAAUAGGGAUGCACCUAAUACUGUAGGAUUUUAGUCAGUGAUGCUUUAAAUUUGGAGGGUCCCUUUGAGGUACAGACUACACAGACCCUUCAACAUCCAAACACUGUUUUAUUACCGUUUCAAAAAUUUAUUGUCAGCCUUUGCAUCUGUCUCUUUUACAACAAUUUUCAUUGGGCAACGUGGUGCUUCGUCAUACUAAUAUUUAUUAUUAGGCCUUAAAUGGAAACUCUCUUUAAUAUACUUCACCCGGUUCACUUAUUAUUCACUUUCGAAUUUUAACUAAAUCAUUUCUAUAAUUGUUUGCUUAUUUAUUAUUUUA
Molecule: long non-coding RNA, 1186 nt
Organism: Cicer arietinum (chickpea)
Lineage: Eukaryota; Viridiplantae; Streptophyta; Magnoliopsida; Fabales; Fabaceae
Source: RefSeq, a predicted model, not a curated record